GGUGGGGUUCCCGAGCGGCCAAAGGGAGCAGACUGUAAAUCUGCCGUCAUCGACUUCGAAGGUUCGAAUCCUUCCCCCCG
This 80-nucleotide transfer RNA is filed under the name Salmonella enterica subsp. enterica serovar Newport. RNAcentral describes it as "tRNA-Tyr". It matches the Rfam family "tRNA". Rfam says of the family: Transfer RNA (tRNA) molecules are approximately 80 nucleotides in length. The record is from RNAcentral. Lineage: Bacteria; Pseudomonadati; Pseudomonadota; Gammaproteobacteria; Enterobacterales; Enterobacteriaceae.